UUGACCUCGGAUCAGGUAGGGAUACCCGCUGAACUUAAGCAUAUCAAUAAGCGGAGGAAAAGAAACCAACCGGGAUUGCCCCAGUAACGGCGAGUGAAGCGGCAAGAGCUCAAAUUUGAAAGCUGGCCCCCCCGGGGUCCGCGUUGUAAUUUGCAGAGGAUGCUUCGGGAGCGGCCCCCGUCUAAGUGCCCUG
RNAcentral lists this ribosomal RNA (193 nucleotides) under Penicillium capsulatum. RNAcentral describes it as "partial 28S ribosomal RNA". It matches the Rfam family "Eukaryotic large subunit ribosomal RNA", at positions 1 to 192 of the family's 3401-position model. Lineage: Eukaryota; Fungi; Ascomycota; Eurotiomycetes; Eurotiales; Aspergillaceae. The record is from RNAcentral.